Molecule: ribosomal RNA, 253 nt
Filed under: uncultured bacterium
Lineage: Bacteria
Description: partial 16S ribosomal RNA
Rfam family: Bacterial small subunit ribosomal RNA
Source: RNAcentral
UACGUAGGGUCCGAGCGUUGUCCGGAGUUACUGGGCGUAAAGGGCGCGCAGGCGGCGGUGCUGGCCCGGCGUGAAAGCCCCCGGCUCAACCGGGGAGGGUCGUCGGGGACCGCACCGCUUGAGGGCGGUAGGGGCUGGUGGAAUGCCUGGUGUAGUGGUGAAAUGCGUAGAGAUCAGGCGGAACACCCGUGGCGAAGGCGGCCAGCUGGGCCGACCCUGACGCUGAGGCGCGAAGGCGUGGGGAGCAAACAGG